RNAcentral lists this ribosomal RNA (422 nucleotides) under uncultured bacterium. Its description in RNAcentral is "partial 16S ribosomal RNA". It matches the Rfam family "Bacterial small subunit ribosomal RNA", at positions 360 to 774 of the family's 1533-position model. The record is from RNAcentral.
AAUUUUGGACAAUGGGGGAAACCCUGAUCCAGCCAUCCCGCGUGUAUGAUGAAGGCCUUCGGGUUGUAAAUUACUUUUGGCAGAGAAGAAAAGGUAUCUCCUAAUACGAGAUACUGCUGACGGUAUCUGCAGAAUAAGCACCGGCUAACUACGUGCCAGCAGCCGCUGUAAUACGUAGGGUGCAAGCGUUAAUCGGAAUUAAUGGGCGUAAAGAGGGUGUAGGCGGUUCGGAAAGAAAGAUGUGAGAUCACAGGGCUCAAACUUGGAACUGCAAUUUUAACUGCCGAGCUAGAGUAUGACAGAGGGGGGUAGAAUUCCACGUGUAGCAGUGAAAUGCGUAGAUAUGUGGAGGAAUACCGAUGGCGAAGGCAGCCCCCUGGGAUAAUACUGACGCUCAGACACGAAAGCGUGGGGAGCAAACA